GGAAUGUUGAGAAGACAGAAGAUUCUGGCUGGGAUUUCAGUUGGAUAGCUCUCAACCUUGAGAAGCCUAGGAGGAGAGGUCUGGCCAAGCCUUUCUCCUGGGAUUUAUCCAUCUCUUUCCUCUCCUGGAGCAAAGAACUAGAAACAAAAUUGAUGCUCAUUGAUUGGGAGAACAGCUAAACAAAUGACGGUCCUUGAAUGUAAUAAAACAUUACUAUGAGAAAUGAUGAUUGUGAUACAGAAAAGCAUGGAAAGACUGCUGCAGAAUGAAGUAAGGAGAGCCAGGAAAACAAUAUUUGCUGACCAUGACCGUGGAAAUGGAAAGAAAAGCAGCUACGAACAUUCAGAAAUCAAUGUUGUGGGUACAGCUCCUGGAAGGGAUGAGAAAUGAAGGCCCAGGGGUAAAGAUGAAUGAUAUAAAAAGAUAAGAUAGCAAUAAAAAUUCAUUUUUAAAAAACA
This 458-nucleotide long non-coding RNA is filed under the name Monodelphis domestica (gray short-tailed opossum). RNAcentral describes it as "lncRNA (ENSMODG00000046579.1)". The record is from RNAcentral. Lineage: Eukaryota; Metazoa; Chordata; Mammalia; Didelphimorphia; Didelphidae.